UACGGGGGGGGCAAGCGUUGUUCGGAAUUACUGGGCGUAAAGGGCUCGUAGGCGGCCAACUAAGUCAGACGUGAAAUCCCUGGGCUCAACCCAGGAACUGCGUCCGAUACUGGCAGGCUUGAAUCCGGGAGAGGGAUGUGGAAUUCCAGGUGUAGCGGUGAAAUGCGUAGAUAUCUGGAGGAACACCGGUGGCGAAGGCGGCAUCCUGGACCGGUAUUGACGCUGAGGCGCGAAAGCCAGGGGAGCAAACGGG
Molecule: ribosomal RNA, 253 nt
Filed under: uncultured bacterium
Lineage: Bacteria
Description: partial 16S ribosomal RNA
Rfam family: Bacterial small subunit ribosomal RNA
Source: RNAcentral